Molecule: ribosomal RNA, 1061 nt
Filed under: uncultured Cryobacterium sp.
Lineage: Bacteria; Bacillati; Actinomycetota; Actinomycetes; Micrococcales; Microbacteriaceae
Description: bacterial SSU rRNA
Rfam family: Bacterial small subunit ribosomal RNA
Source: RNAcentral
UCCUACGGGAGGCAGCAGUGGGGAAUAUUGCACAAUGGGCGCAAGCCUGAUGCAGCAACGCCGCGUGAGGGACGAAGGCCUUCGGGUUGUAAACCUCUUUUAGUAGGGAAGAAGCGACUGGGUUUUCCUGGGAGUGACGGUACCUGCAGAAAAAGCACCGGCUAACUACGUGCCAGCAGCCGCGGUAAUACGUAGGGUGCAAGCGUUGUCGCGUAAUUAUUGGGGCGUAAAGAGCUCGUAGGCGGUUUGUCGCGUCUGCUGUGAAAACCCGAGGCUCAACCUCGGGCCUGCAGUGGGUACGGGCAGACUAGAGUGCGGUAGGGGAGAUUGGAAUUCCUGGUGUAGCGGUGGAAUGCGCAGAUAUCAGGAGGAACACCAAUGGCGAAGGCAGAUCUCUGGGCCGUAACUGACGCUGAGGAGCGAAAGCAUGGGGAGCGAACAGGAUUAGAUACCCUGGUAGUCCAUGCCGUAAACGUUGGGAACUAGAUGUGGGGACCAUUCCACGGUCUCCGUGUCGCAGCUAACGCACUAAGUUCCCCGCCUGGGGAGUACGGCCGCAAGGCUAAAACUCAAAGGAAUUGACAGGGGCCCGCACAAGCGGCGGAGCAUGCGGAUUAAUUCGAUGCAACGCGAAGAACCUUACCAAGGCUUGACAUAUACCGGAAACGGCUGGAAACAGUCGCCCCGCAAGGUCGGUAUACAGGUGGUGCAUGGUUGUCGUCAGCUCGUGUCGUGAGAUGUUGGGUUAAGUCCCGCAACGAGCGCAACCCUCGUCCUAUGUUGCCAGCACGUAAUGGUGGGAACUCAUGGGAUACUGCCGGGGUCAACUCGGAGGAAGGUGGGGAUGACGUCAAAUCAUCAUGCCCCUUAUGUCUUGGGCUUCACGCAUGCUACAAUGGCCGGUACAAAGGGCUGCGAUACCGCAAGGUGGAGCGAAUCCCAAAAAGCCGGUCUCAGUUCGGAUUGAGGUCUGCAACUCGACCUCAUGAAGUCGGAGUCGCUAGUAAUCGCAGAUCAGCAACGCUGCGGUGAAUACGUUCCCGGGCCUUGUACACACCGCC